GACGAACGCUGGCGGCGUGCCUAACACAUGCAAGUCGAACGGACAGGCCCUGCUUUUGUGGGGUGCUCGAGUGGCGAACGGGUGAGUAACACGUGAGUAACCUGCACUUGACUUUGGGAUAACUUCUGGAAACUGGGGCUAAUACCGGAUAGGAGCUCCUGCUGCAUGGUGGGGGUUGGAAAGUUUCGGCGGUUGGGGCUGGACUCGCGGCUUAUCAGCUUGUUGGGGAGGUAGUGGCUUACCAAGGCUUUGAAGGGUAGCCGACAUGAGAGGGUGACCGGGCACAAGGGGACUGAGAUAGGGCCCAGACGCCAACGGGAGGCAGAAGUGGAGAAUAUUGCGCAAUGAGCGGAAGUCUGAGACAGCAACGCCGCGAGCGUGAUAACGUCUUUCGAGGUAAAAACAGCUGUCUCCGGAAACGAAGCGUGAGUGACGGUAAUUAGUAAAAAAGCACCGGCUAACUACGUG
This 468-nucleotide ribosomal RNA is filed under the name uncultured bacterium. RNAcentral's name for it is "partial 16S ribosomal RNA". It matches the Rfam family "Bacterial small subunit ribosomal RNA", at positions 28 to 507 of the family's 1533-position model. The record is from RNAcentral.